Molecule: long non-coding RNA, 551 nt
Organism: Onychostoma macrolepis
Lineage: Eukaryota; Metazoa; Chordata; Actinopteri; Cypriniformes; Cyprinidae
Exons: 4
Source: RefSeq, a predicted model, not a curated record
AUUACCAUGGUAACGGUGUCAACUCACUCAGCUGACAAGAAGGGAGAGGCUGUCUCUCUGCUGUUUUCACUGCUUUCAGGAGUGGUUUAGUGUCUUCAAAAAGACCGUUAGCAUCAGGCUAACAAAUAGAGGAGCGUCAGAAAAAAAGACCUAAAACGGGAAGUUACAAGAAAAUUUGUAAUGGGAGCUGCUGACAGAGAUGCAGGAAACAGAGCUGGAGCGGAGCGGAUCUCCUGUCGAAGAACAUCUCCAUCAUUGUAACGACUAGGGCAAAGCAGCUGUUCUCCGCUAGUAGACGGUUACAAUAGAACGCCAUGAAGUAGCAGCUUAAAUCGCGAACGCGCAAUAUGACGUUGGAAUGCCGUUGCCGUUCCAGCAGUGGAGGCUGCUUAAAGUCCCUAUUGUAUUGACGUCGACGCCACGGAUGACGUCGACGCUGCGGUAAAUAGGAAAUGGGGUUGAAACAAUAGACCUACAUGGUAUUAAUACUUAAUUAUAUAAAACAAAACUGUGAACCCGUUAAUUACUUAUACCUGGUAAAAUAUAUAGUA